GACGAACGCUGGCGGCGUGCUUAACACAUGCAAGUCGAACGGAAAGGCCCUGCUUUUGUGGGGUGCUCGAGUGGCGAACGGGUGAGUAACACGUGAGUAACCUGCCCUUGUCUUUGGGAUAACUUCAGGAAACUGGGGCUAAUACCGGAUAGGAGCUCCUGCUGCAUGGUGGGGGUUGGAAAGUUUCGGCGGUUGGGGAUGGACUCGCGGCUUAUCAGCUUGUUGGUGGGGUAGUGGCUUACCAAGGCUUUGACGGGUAGCCGGCCUGAGAGGGUGACCGGCCACAUUGGGACUGAGAUACGGCCCAGACUGCUACGGGAGGCAGCAGUGGGGAAUAUUGCACAAUGGGCGGAAGCCUGAUGCAGCAACGCCGCGUGCGGGAUGACGGCCUUCGGGUUGUAAACCGCUUUCGCCUGUGACGAAGCGUGAGUGACGGUAAUGGGUAAAGAAGCACCGGCUAACUACGUG
RNAcentral lists this ribosomal RNA (468 nucleotides) under uncultured bacterium. Its description in RNAcentral is "partial 16S ribosomal RNA". It matches the Rfam family "Bacterial small subunit ribosomal RNA", at positions 28 to 507 of the family's 1533-position model. The record is from RNAcentral.